Molecule: ribosomal RNA, 198 nt
Filed under: uncultured bacterium
Lineage: Bacteria
Description: partial 16S ribosomal RNA
Rfam family: Bacterial small subunit ribosomal RNA
Source: RNAcentral
ACGCUCGACACCUACGGGAGGCAGCAGUGGGGAAUAUUGCACAAUGGGGGAAACCCUGAUGCAGCGACGCCGCGUGGAGGAAGAAGGUCUUCGGAUUGUAAACUCCUGUUGUUGGGGAAAAAGAGGAUGGUACCCAACAAGGAAGUGACGGCUAACUACGUGCUAGCAGCCGCGGUAAUCUGAGCGGGCUGGCAAGGC